UACUCCUACGGGAGGCAGCAGUGGGGAAUAUUGGACAAUGGGCGAAAGCCUGAUCCAGCAAUACCGCGUGUGUGAAGAAGGCCUGAGGGUUGUAAAGCACUUUCAAUUGGGAGGAAAACCUACCGGUCAAUACCCGGUAGCUUGACAUUACCUUUAGAAGAAGCACCGGCUAACUCCGUG
RNAcentral lists this ribosomal RNA (180 nucleotides) under uncultured Methylobacter sp. RNAcentral describes it as "partial 16S ribosomal RNA". It matches the Rfam family "Bacterial small subunit ribosomal RNA", at positions 334 to 507 of the family's 1533-position model. Lineage: Bacteria; Pseudomonadati; Pseudomonadota; Gammaproteobacteria; Methylococcales; Methylococcaceae. The record is from RNAcentral.